This 301-nucleotide ribosomal RNA is filed under the name uncultured bacterium. Its description in RNAcentral is "partial 16S ribosomal RNA". It matches the Rfam family "Bacterial small subunit ribosomal RNA", at positions 509 to 807 of the family's 1533-position model. The record is from RNAcentral.
CAGUAGCCGCGGUAAUACGGAGGGUGCAAGCGUUAUCCGGAUUUAUUGGGUUUAAAGGGUCCGUAGGCGGAUCUGUAAGUCAGUGGUGAAAUCUCACAGCUUAACUGUGAAACUGCCAUUGAUACUGCAGGUCUUGAGUAAAUUUGAAGUGGCUGGAAUAAGUAGUGUAGCGGUGAAAUGCAUAGAUAUUACUUAGAACACCAAUUGCGAAGGCAGGUCACUAAGAUUUAACUGACGCUGAUGGACGAAAUCGUGGGGAGCGAACAGGAUUAGAUACCCGCGUAGUCCCUGUCUCUUAUAC